This 496-nucleotide ribosomal RNA is filed under the name uncultured bacterium. Its description in RNAcentral is "partial 16S ribosomal RNA". It matches the Rfam family "Bacterial small subunit ribosomal RNA", at positions 28 to 506 of the family's 1533-position model. The record is from RNAcentral.
GAUGAACGCUGGCGGCGUGCCUAAUACAUGCAAGUCGAGCGAACGGACGAGAAGCUUGCUUCUCUGAUGUUAGCGGCGGACGGGUGAGUAACACGUGGAUAACCUACCUAUAAGACUGGGAUAACUUCGGGAAACCGGAGCUAAUACCGGAUAAUAUUUUGAACCGCAUGGUUCAAAAGUGAAAGACGGUCUUGCUGUCACUUAUAGAUGGAUCCGCGCUGCAUUAGCUAGUUGGUAAGGUAACGGCUUACCAAGGCAACGAUGCAUAGCCGACCUGAGAGGGUGAUCGGCCACACUGGAACUGAGACACGGUCCAGACUCCUACGGGAGGCAGCAGUAGGGAAUCUUCCGCAAUGGGCGAAAGCCUGACGGAGCAACGCCGCGUGAGUGAUGAAGGUCUUCGGAUCGUAAAACUCUGUUAUUAGGGAAGAACAUAUGUGUAAGUAACUGUGCACAUCUUGACGGUACCUAAUCAGAAAGCCACAGCUAACUACGU